RNAcentral lists this ribosomal RNA (460 nucleotides) under uncultured bacterium. Its description in RNAcentral is "partial 16S ribosomal RNA". It matches the Rfam family "Bacterial small subunit ribosomal RNA", at positions 338 to 795 of the family's 1533-position model. The record is from RNAcentral.
CCUACGGGAGGCAGCAGUGAGGAAUAUUGGUCAAUGGGCGCGAGCCUGAACCAGCCAAGUCGCGUGAAGGAUGACUGCCCUACGGGUUGUAAACUUCUUUUAUAAAGGAAUAAAGUGAGGCACGUGUCCCUUUUUGCAUGUACUUUAUGAAUAAGGAUCGGCUAACUCCGUGCCAGCAGCCGCGGUAAUACGGAGGAUCCGAGCGUUAUCCGGAUUUAUUGGGUUUAAAGGGAGCGUAGAUGGGUUGUUAAGUCAGUUGUGAAAGUUUGCGGCUCAACCGUAAAAUUGCAAUUGAUACUGGGAGGCUUGAGUACAGUUGAGGUAGGCGGAAGGCGUGGUGUAGCGGUGAAAUGCUUAGAUAUCACGAAGAACUCCGAUUGCGAAGGCAGCUCACUAAGCUGCCACUGACAUUGAUGCACGAAAGUGUGGGUAUCGAACAGGAUUAGAUACCCGUGUAGUC